UGGGGAAUAUUGCACAAUGGGGGAAACCCUGAUGCAGCGACGCCGCGUGAAGGAAGAAGUAUCUCGGUAUGUAAACUUCUAUCAGCAGGGAAGAUAAUGACGGUACCUGACUAAGAAGCCCCGGCUAACUACGUGCCAGCAGCCGCGGUAAUACGUAGGGGGCAAGCGUUAUCCGGAUUUACUGGGUGUAAAGGGAGCGUAGACGGAGAGGCAAGUCUGAUGUGAAAGGCAGGGGCUCAACCCCUGGACUGCAUUGGAAACUGUUUUCUUGAGUGCCGGAGGGGUAAGCGGAAUUCCUAGUGUAGCGGUGAAAUGCGUAGAUAUUAGGAGGAACACCAGUGGCGAAGGCGGCUUACUGGACGGUAACUGACGUUGAGGCUCGAAAGCGUGGGGAGCAAACAGGAUUAGAUACCCUGGUAGU
This 421-nucleotide ribosomal RNA is filed under the name uncultured Blautia sp. Its description in RNAcentral is "bacterial SSU rRNA". It matches the Rfam family "Bacterial small subunit ribosomal RNA", at positions 355 to 794 of the family's 1533-position model. The record is from RNAcentral. Lineage: Bacteria; Bacillati; Bacillota; Clostridia; Lachnospirales; Lachnospiraceae.